GACGUAGGGCGCGAGCGUUGUUCGGAUUCAUUGGGCGUAAAGGGUGCGUAGGUGGCGGGGUUAGUCAGGUGUGAAAUCUCGGGGCUCAACCCCGAAACUGCACUUGAUACUGCCUUGCUAGAGUACUGGAGAGGAGAUUGGAAUUUACGGUGUAGCAGUGAAAUGCGUAGAUAUCGUAAGGAAGACCAGUGGCGAAGGCGGGUCUCUGGGCCGAAAUUGACGCUGAGGAGCGAAAGCGUGGGGAGCAAACAGG
This 253-nucleotide ribosomal RNA is filed under the name uncultured bacterium. RNAcentral's name for it is "partial 16S ribosomal RNA". It matches the Rfam family "Bacterial small subunit ribosomal RNA", at positions 524 to 776 of the family's 1533-position model. The record is from RNAcentral.